This is a long non-coding RNA of Cuculus canorus (common cuckoo), 2924 nucleotides long. RefSeq lists it as uncharacterized. The transcript has 3 exons. The record is from RefSeq and is a predicted model, not a curated record. NCBI's taxonomy places the organism in Eukaryota, Metazoa, Chordata, Aves, Cuculiformes, Cuculidae.
AAUCCUUCUGGCAAUGGCGCCUACUCCUUCCCAGGUCUGCCAGCUGCAACCACCAGGAGCAAUAAAUAAAUAAAUAACCCCUAGCACCGCGCACACACAGACACGCUCCCCACCAGCCUCCUCCUCUGCCUCCCCGGCGGCGGAGCGAAGGAGCGGGACCUGCCUCUGCCUUCCCCCCUCUCUGCUCAGGGAGGGACAGCACCUCGCCGCCCAGGGGGGGCACGAGCAGCCCUCAUCCAACACCUCCCUCCUUUCCCCCCUCCUCCUCCUCCAAAAGGGAGAAAUUAAAUAAAUAAAUAAAAGGAUGUUCUAGCAGAAAAUGCCGAAGAGGAAAAAGCCCCCCCUAGAGCCGGGGAGGCGGGGAGCGAUGCGGGGCGGGGGUGCUAGUGCCGCAUUCCCCGGGAGCCGGGACGGCGCUCGGGCUGGGGCAGGGCGGGAUGCGCAAGCCAAGGAGCGCGGAGCUAACAGAGUGUGCAGAGGGGAGCAGAGCCGCCCUCCCGGCAUCGGCGGGGCUCGGGCACCUUCUCCAGGUGGAGCUCGCAGCGCCGGGUGGGACACGGGGAGGUGCGGCGCACUCCGCGGACGCUGCCCUGUUCUUUAGCCUAGAGAAGAGGAGGCUGAGGGGAGACCUUAUCACUGGCCGCUACCCGAAAGGAAGCGGUAGAGAGAAAUUCUGGAGCCUGGCACCGCUCGUGGCUACUAGAAAAUGAGAGCUGCACCGGGACUCUUGAUUUCUCCCCAGGAUUGCCACAACUCUGCGAGGAGCCCGGGGCAGAUGAGCCCUUUCCAUGUCUGUUCUCCUAGCUAGUAGUUAUACUGUGUUCAGUUCUGGACCCCUCACCACAAGAAGGAUGUUGAGGUUCUGGCGCGUGUCCAGAGAAGAGCAACGAAGCUGGCUUUCACUUGGUAUGACAUCCAGAAGUGCUAACUGAAGACAUCAGUAAUGAAGAGCCCACCGCAUCUCUUGACAGAUAAUUGCAAUCGUUUGCUCAGAGGUCCAUCUCACAUUCAGUAAUAAUUUGUCUUAUUCCAGCUUCCAGCCACUGGUUCUCAUCAUGCCUCAUCAGCUUCGGCGGGCAUAGUAUCAGUGAUCUUCUCCUAUGUGUACGGGCUAAGACUAAUCUCUUCAUUUUGCUCUUGUAAAAUAAUUAGACCAAUUUUCCCUCACCUCAGGAAUCAUGCUGGGAGGCAUUUCCAAGGUAACAGUCCUUUUUACACUUUUUGUGUGAAUUGCCCCUUCUGACUCUGCAACUUGUCAGCACUGGGCCACCAGCAUCAACCUCAGCACCUCCCUGGGCACCACCCACUUCUGAGGGCUGGGCAGGUGGGAGACCUAAUCCUUAUAGGCAAGCUACCCAGUAUGCUGUCCUUGUGUGGCUGCCUCUACACUGUGUUCUGGAUCCAUUCUGCCUAAAAGCAUGAACCUACUUCUUUGCUCCUAUGCAUCUGACCUCACCUCGAGUUAGGAUAAAUCAAACUGUGCUUUAUUUGUGCAAGUGACCUGUCCAGCAUUUUUUUGUCACCUGCAAGCUUAUCAGUAACUUCAUUUUCUCCAGAAAACUGAUUAUCAUGACACCAAGAACAAAUCUUCCUAGGAGGCCAACAGAAAUAGUUGCCAUAUUGAUUUUGUUUAAUGUUAUUUUUAAUCAGAAUUUCAUAUGCUAAAUGAUACUUUAAAUCCUCGACCUAAUCUGCAAUAGAUCCCAAGUUUGUCAAAAUCUGUUUCACAGAAAAUCAUUCUUCACUGCUUGGAUCCUGUAUCAUUCUGUGAUUUUCUCCAGUACUUAGCUACCAAGACUAUAGCUACUUGGAUCACUAUGGUUAUCAUUUUACGAUAUUGGCACGGUAUUAAUGCACACACUCAUAUUCUCUCUCUCUGUGGAAUGCCAUCAGCUUUCUAAGCCUUUCUUUUUUUUUUUUUCAAAAGACAUUUCCCAGUUUUUGAGAAGUCAGUCUUUCUGAAAGAAAGCUUGGGUCCAAGUUAUGUGGUACAACAGAAUUAAUACCUUGAAUGUUAUUAGCAACUGCUUGACAUCCUUCUUUGUUACUGAUGCAGCAGCAAACAUCCUUUUGUUAUUUUAAGAACCAAAUGCACCUCCACGCUUCUUUCCAGACACAGGUCAGAAAGAGUCAUUGCACAGUUCUAUUUAGCGUAAAGCUCGAGACUUGCCCUCACACGGGAGGCAGAGCCCCGCUGCUGGUGGCACGCCCACAGUGACUGCGAAGUCAGAUGGUGGGGAGGUAGGUCAAAGAAAUAUGCCUGGGAAGUGCUAUGUCACGGAGACAAUGCUUACCACGGAGAACAAAAGCAGUUCCAAAAGCAGGUCCGGGAGAACCAAGAUUUACCCCUAUUUGUCCGGAAACCUAAAACAGAGCUUCAGAGGUAGUCUCUGAUGGUAGUUGGCAAGUGAUCCUUUCUAUGCAUCAUUCUGCGCAUCAUUCUGCCUGUCAUGUGAGCCUGGGGUGACACUUCAUCUGUAUGCACAUUUCUGUCUUGAAGGUGACCACCUUAGGUCAAACGAAUCUGUGAUCCUAUGCCUGAACCUCAGAAGUUUGGAGUAUUGCAGGACAUCAUUUAAACUAAGCAAAGCUGCACUUCAAAGUACGGAAUUUAAUAACGCGGUACUUCUGAUCGUAAUGUUUUUGUCACUACAUUCCCUGUCAGUAAAACAGUGGUCCUCUUCCUUCAUGGUCAUACUGUGAAGAUAGAGUAAUAAAUAUUUGGGAAGCACUAGGACACUGUAACAUUGAAGUUCCAUUAAGAAAAGCUAUGAAAAUAACCUUUAUUUUUCAGGCUUCAGAUUUACUGUGGGGAAUAAGGCCAUAUAUUGAACAAUGAGGAUUAGGUAAAGUAAGCCUCUCAAAAUCCUUCCUGUAUACUCAGUGAGGCAUGAAAAAGACAGUAUGCACAUCUUUUGUAAAAA